UGGGAGGUGCUGGAGCUGCCC
Molecule: microRNA, 21 nt
Filed under: Gallus gallus (chicken)
Lineage: Eukaryota; Metazoa; Chordata; Aves; Galliformes; Phasianidae
Description: microRNA Ros-gga
Source: RNAcentral